Molecule: ribosomal RNA, 236 nt
Filed under: uncultured bacterium
Lineage: Bacteria
Description: partial 16S ribosomal RNA
Rfam family: Bacterial small subunit ribosomal RNA
Source: RNAcentral
CGGCACGGGUGAGUAACGCGUAUCCAACCUGCCGUCUACUCUUGGACAGCCUUCUGAAAGGAAGAUUAAUACAAGAUGGCAUCAUGAGUCCGCAUGUUCACAUGAUUAAAGGUAUUCCGGUAGACGAUGGGGAUGCGUUCCAUUAGAUAGUAGGCGGGGUAACGGCCCACCUAGUCUUCGAUGGAUAGGGGUUCUGAGAGGAAGGUCCCCCACAUUGGAACUGAGACACGGACCAA